This 465-nucleotide ribosomal RNA is filed under the name uncultured bacterium. RNAcentral describes it as "partial 16S ribosomal RNA". It matches the Rfam family "Bacterial small subunit ribosomal RNA", at positions 28 to 507 of the family's 1533-position model. The record is from RNAcentral.
GACGAACGCUGGCGGCGUGCUUAACACAUGCAAGUCGAACGGAAAGGCCCUGCUUGCAGGGUACUCGAGUGGCGAACGGGUGAGUAACACGUGGGUGAUCUGCCCUGCACUUCGGGAUAAGCCUGGGAAACUGGGUCUAAUACCGGAUAGGAGCCAUUUUUAGUGUGAUGGUUGGAAAGUUUUUUCGGUGUAGGAUGAGCUCGCGGCCUAUCAGCUUGUUGGUGGGGAAAUGGCCUACCAAGGCGGCGACGGGUAGCCGGCCUGAGAGGGUGGACGGCCACAUUGGGACUGAGAUACGGCCCAGACUCCUACGGGAGGCAGCAGUGGGGAAUAUUGCACAAUGGGCGCAAGCCUGAUGCAGCGACGCCGCGUGGGGGAUGACGGCCUUCGGGUUGUAAACUCCUUUCGCUAGGGACGAAGCUUUUUGUGACGGUACCUAGAUAAGAAGCACCGGCUAACUACGUG